RNAcentral lists this ribosomal RNA (650 nucleotides) under uncultured bacterium. RNAcentral's name for it is "bacterial SSU rRNA". It matches the Rfam family "Bacterial small subunit ribosomal RNA", at positions 77 to 712 of the family's 1533-position model. The record is from RNAcentral.
AGCUUGCUCCCUGAGAUUAGCGGCGGACGGGUGAGUAACACGUGGGCAACCUGCCUAUAAGACUGGGAUAACUUCGGGAAACCGGAGCUAAUACCGGAUACGUUCUUUUCUCGCAUGAGAGAAGAUGGAAAGACGGUUUACGCUGUCACUUAUAGAUGGGCCCGCGGCGCAUUAGCUAGUUGGUGAGGUAAUGGCUCACCAAGGCGACGAUGCGUAGCCGACCUGAGAGGGUGAUCGGCCACACUGGGACUGAGACACGGCCCAGACUCCUACGGGAGGCAGCAGUAGGGAAUCUUCCGCAAUGGACGAAAGUCUGACGGAGCAACGCCGCGUGAACGAAGAAGGCCUUCGGGUCGUAAAGUUCUGUUGUUAGGGAAGAACAAGUACCAGAGUAACUGCUGGUACCUUGACGGUACCUAACCAGAAAGCCACGGCUAACUACGUGCCAGCAGCCGCGGUAAUACGUAGGUGGCAAGCGUUGUCCGGAAUUAUUGGGCGUAAAGCGCGCGCAGGUGGUUCCUUAAGUCUGAUGUGAAAGCCCACGGCUCAACCGUGGAGGGUCAUUGGAAACUGGGGAACUUGAGUGCAGAAGAGGAAAGUGGAAUUCCAAGUGUAGCGGUGAAAUGCGUAGAGAUUUGGAGGAACACCAG